GAUGAAGAACGUAGUGAAAUGCGAUAAGUAGUGUGAAUUGCAGAAUUCAGUGAAUCAUCGAAUCUUUGAACGCACAUUGCGCCCUUUGGUAUUCCAAAGGGCAUGCCUGUUCGAGCGUCAUUUGUACCCUCAAGCUUUGCUUGGUGUUGAGCGUCUUGUCUCUAGCUUUGCUGGAGACUCGCCUUAAAGUAAUUGGCAGCCGGCCUACUGGUUUCGGAGCGCAGCACAAGUCGCACUCUCUAUCAGCAAAGGUCUAGCAUCCAUUAAGCCUUUUUUUUCAACUUUUGACCUCGGAUCAGGUAGGGAUACCCGCUGAACUUAAGCAUAUCAAUAAGCGGAGGA
This 342-nucleotide unclassified non-coding RNA is filed under the name soil metagenome. RNAcentral describes it as "partial contains 5.8S ribosomal RNA, internal transcribed spacer 2, and large subunit ribosomal RNA". The stretch from base 1 to 120 matches the Rfam family "5.8S ribosomal RNA", at positions 35 to 154 of the family's 154-position model. The record is from RNAcentral.